ACGGGCCCGCACAAGCAGCGGAGCGUGUGGUUUAAUUCGAUGCUACACGAAGAACCUUACUAGGGUUUGACAUACAAGUAGUAGGGAAGGAAACUGGACCGACCCUUCGGGAGCUUGUACAGGUGCUGCAUGGCUGUCGUCAGCUCGUGUCGUGAGAUGUUCGGUUAAGUCCGCUAACGAGCGCAACCCUCGCUGUGUGUUACAAGUGUCACACGGAACUGCCGGUCAUAAACUGGAGGAAGGUGGGGAUGACGUCAAGUCAUCAUGCCCCUUAUGACCUGGGCUACACACGUGCUACAAUGGGCGGUACAAAGGGCUGCGAACCCGCGAGGGGGAGCGAAUCCCAAAAAGCCGCUACUCAGUUCGGAUUGCAGGCUGCAACUCGCCUGCAUGAAGCCGGAAUCGCUAGUAAUCGCGGAUCAGCAUGCCGCGGUCGAAUACGUUCCCGGGCCUU
RNAcentral lists this ribosomal RNA (454 nucleotides) under uncultured Anaerolineaceae bacterium. Its description in RNAcentral is "bacterial SSU rRNA". It matches the Rfam family "Bacterial small subunit ribosomal RNA", at positions 917 to 1381 of the family's 1533-position model. The record is from RNAcentral. Lineage: Bacteria; Bacillati; Chloroflexota; Anaerolineae; Anaerolineales; Anaerolineaceae.